UACGUAGGGUGCGAGCGUUGUCCGGAAUUAUUGGGCGUAAAGGGCUCGUAGGCGGUUUGUCGCGUCGGGAGUGAAAACCAUGGGCUUAACUCAUGGCUUGCUUCCGAUACGGGCAGACUAGAGGUAUGCAGGGGAGAACGGAAUUCCUGGUGUAGCGGUGAAAUGCGCAGAUAUCAGGAGGAACACCGGUGGCGAAGGCGGCUCUCUGGGCAUUACCUGACGCUGAGGAGCGAAAGUGUGGGGAGCGAACAGG
RNAcentral lists this ribosomal RNA (253 nucleotides) under uncultured bacterium. RNAcentral's name for it is "partial 16S ribosomal RNA". It matches the Rfam family "Bacterial small subunit ribosomal RNA", at positions 524 to 776 of the family's 1533-position model. The record is from RNAcentral.